GAUGAACGCUGGCGGCGUGCCUAAUACAUGCAAGUCGAGCGAACAGACGAGGAGCUUGCUCCUCUGACGUUAGCGGCGGACGGGUGAGUAACACGUGGAUAACCUACCUAUAAGACUGGGAUAACUUCGGGAAACCGGAGCUAAUACCGGAUAAUAUAUUGAACCGCAUGGUUCAAUAGUGAAAGACGGUUUUGCUGUCACUUAUAGAUGGAUCCGCGCCGCAUUAGCUAGUUGGUAAGGUAACGGCUUACCAAGGCAACGAUGCGUAGCCGACCUGAGAGGGUGAUCGGCCACACUGGAGCUGAGCCACGGUCCAGACUCCUACGGGAGGCAGCAGUAGGGAAUCUUCCGCAAUGGGCGAAAGCCUGACGGAGCAACGCCGCGUGAGUGAUGAAGGUCUUCGGAUCGUAAAACUCUGUUAUUAGGGAAGAACAAAUGUGUAAGUAACUAUGCACGUCUUGACGGUACCUAAUCAGAAAGCCACGGCUAACUACGUG
This 497-nucleotide ribosomal RNA is filed under the name uncultured bacterium. Its description in RNAcentral is "partial 16S ribosomal RNA". It matches the Rfam family "Bacterial small subunit ribosomal RNA", at positions 28 to 507 of the family's 1533-position model. The record is from RNAcentral.